CAGCAGCCGCGGUAAUACGUAGGGUGCAAGCGUUAAUCGGAAUUACUGGGCGUAAAGCGUGCGCAGGCGGUUCGUUAAGACAGAUGUGAAAUCCCCGGGCUUAACCUGGGAACUGCAUUUGUGACUGGCGGGCUAGAGUAUGGCAGAGGGGGGUAGAAUUCCACGUGUAGCAGUGAAAUGCGUAGGGAUGUGGAGGAAUACCGAUGGCGAAGGCAGCCCCCUGGGCCAAUACUGACGCUCAUGCACGAAAGCGUGGGGAGCAAACAGGAUUAGAUACCCGUGUAGUCCCUGUCUCUUAUAC
Molecule: ribosomal RNA, 301 nt
Filed under: uncultured bacterium
Lineage: Bacteria
Description: partial 16S ribosomal RNA
Rfam family: Bacterial small subunit ribosomal RNA
Source: RNAcentral